Molecule: small nucleolar RNA, 207 nt
Filed under: Anopheles darlingi
Lineage: Eukaryota; Metazoa; Arthropoda; Insecta; Diptera; Culicidae
Description: small nucleolar RNA U3
Rfam family: Small nucleolar RNA U3
About the family: Small nucleolar RNAs (snoRNAs) are involved in the processing and modification of rRNA in the nucleolus. There are two main classes of snoRNAs: the box C/D class, and the box H/ACA class. U3 snoRNA is a member of the box C/D class.
Source: Rfam by way of RNAcentral
AAGACCGUGCUUCAGAGGAUCAUUUCUGUAGGCCAAUGUUCAAUUCUACGUUUACAAAGAGAAACAGACGAGUUGCAUCAUCCACGAUGAUGAGCUGCAGUCUUCAUUUCCCUCGAGCAAUGAUUUCGCUUUUGUCUCCAACAACGCAUCGUUUGCUGCCUUUAAGGAUCGUUUCCGAUUACAAAGGAUGGACACAUUCCGAGUGGU